UUUGGCCUACGGGAGGCAGCAGUGGGGAAUAUUGCACAAUGGGGGAAACCCUGAUGCAGCGACGCCGCGUGAGUGAAGAAGUAUUUCGGUAUGUAAAGCUCUAUCAGCAGGGAAGAAAUAAAGUCCUUCGGACUUUGGACGGUACCUGACUAAGAAGCCCCGGCUAACUACGUGCCAGCAGCCGCGGUAAUACGUAGGGGGCAAGCGUUAUCCGGAUUUACUGGGUGUAAAGGGAGCGUAGACGGCAGCGCAAGUCUGGAGUGAAAUCCCAUGGCUUAACCAUGGAACUGCUUUGGAAACUGUGC
This 305-nucleotide ribosomal RNA is filed under the name uncultured bacterium. RNAcentral's name for it is "bacterial SSU rRNA". It matches the Rfam family "Bacterial small subunit ribosomal RNA", at positions 333 to 638 of the family's 1533-position model. The record is from RNAcentral.